Molecule: ribosomal RNA, 384 nt
Filed under: uncultured bacterium
Lineage: Bacteria
Description: bacterial SSU rRNA
Rfam family: Bacterial small subunit ribosomal RNA
Source: RNAcentral
GAUGAACGCUGGCGAGAUGCCUUAUACAUGCAAGUCGUACGAGAUUAAAAUCAAGUGGCGGACGGGUGAGUAACACGUAAGAAUUUGCCUUUAGGAGGGGGACAACAACUGGAAACGGUUGCUAAUACCCCAUAUACUUUCGAGUGAAAUGGAUUUUUCCGCCUAGGGAGAAGCUUGCGUCUGAUUAGCUUGUUGGUGAGGUAAUGGCUCACCAAGGCGACGAUCAGUAUCUGGUUUGAGAGGACGAUCAGACACACUGGAACUGAGACACGGUCCAGACUCCUACGGGAGGCAGCAGUAGGGAAUUUUCCGCAAUGGGCGAAAGCCUGACGGAGCAAUCUCGCGUGAGGGAUGACGGCCUAUGGGUUGUAAACCUCUUUUUUC